RNAcentral lists this ribosomal RNA (301 nucleotides) under uncultured bacterium. RNAcentral's name for it is "partial 16S ribosomal RNA". It matches the Rfam family "Bacterial small subunit ribosomal RNA", at positions 509 to 807 of the family's 1533-position model. The record is from RNAcentral.
CAGUAGCCGCGGGAAUACGAAGGGUGCAAGCGUUACUCGGAAUUACUGGGCGUAAAGCGUGCGUAGGUGGUGGUUUAAGUCCGUUGUGAAAGCCCUGGGCUCAACCUGGGAAUUGCAGUGGAUACUGGGUCACUAGAGUGUGGUAGAGGAUAGUGGAAUCUCCGGUGUAGCUGUGAAAUGCGUAGAGAUCGGAAGGAACAUCUGUGGCGAAGGCGACUAUCUGGGCCAACACUGACACUGAGGCACGAAAGCGUGGGGAGCAAACAGGAUUAGAUACCCGCGUAGUCCCUGUCUCUUAUAC